RNAcentral lists this ribosomal RNA (304 nucleotides) under uncultured bacterium. RNAcentral's name for it is "partial 16S ribosomal RNA". It matches the Rfam family "Bacterial small subunit ribosomal RNA", at positions 509 to 807 of the family's 1533-position model. The record is from RNAcentral.
CAGCAGUCGCCGCGGUAAUACGAAGGGGGCUAGCGUUGUUCGGAAUUACUGGGCGUAAAGCGCACGUAGGCGGAUAUUUAAGUCAGGGGUGAAAUCCCGCAGCUCAACUGCGGAACUGCCUUUGAUACUGGGUAUCUUGAGUAUGGAAGAGGUGAGUGGAAUUCCGAGUGUAGAGGUGAAAUUCGUAGAUAUUCGGAGGAACACCAGUGGCGAAGGCGGCUCACUGGUCCAUUACUGACGCUGAGGUGCGAAAGCGUGGGGAGCAAACAGGAUUAGAUACCCGUGUAGUCCCUGUCUCUUAUAC